GAUAGGUCGCUGUCGCUAGCGUGAUUGGACACUGACGUACAGUCAACUAGCCUGGUUCAGACCGGGUUCGGGCACACAAGCAGGACGGUCCGAGCCACGAGGGGGGAGGCUCGGACCGUCCGUU
Non-coding RNA from Streptomyces thermolilacinus SPC6, 124 nucleotides. Lineage: Bacteria; Bacillati; Actinomycetota; Actinomycetes; Kitasatosporales; Streptomycetaceae. The record is from Rfam.